Molecule: non-coding RNA, 8000 nt
Organism: Podarcis lilfordi (Lilford's wall lizard)
Lineage: Eukaryota; Metazoa; Chordata; Lepidosauria; Squamata; Lacertidae
Source: the annotation of a GenBank genome assembly
ACUGGUUUCCCCAGAACACAGUUUGAAAAGCAUUGUCUUAGCCACUAUAGAUUUAAUGUUCAAAUUCUUGCUAAAGCAAAUGGAUAAACUGAUUUGGCUGUUGUACACCUGAUGUGCAAGGCAGCCUGUUUAUUUGUGAAGAAGCUUUCCUGCUACAGCAAGCUAUUCAUAAUAGGACCACUUGCCAAAUCAAAAUGUUUGCAUACACACCACCCUACCUCUUUGCAGCCACUGCAUGUGAGCACAGGCAACUUCCAAUUUACACGAGGGAGGGGGUUACGUUCCAAGACACCACACGUUUAAGUGAAAUCGCAUAUAUUUGAAACACCAUUGAAAAAACCUGCAAACACCCCAUUCCGAACCUGCCCUGCCCCCAUUCCGCCUCUUUUUGUGACUUUUUAGGUCACUUCCGGGUUCAGCACAAUGUGCACGUGUGCAAUCGCACACAUAUUGGACAUGCCUAAAACAGUUGCUGCCUGUAUUAUGAAGGGGAAAGCCUUGAUUUAUAAGUGUUUGUGUGUGUGCGCACCCUUCAUCCAUAACAGGCAUACCUGAGCAAAAGAUGUUCCAUGAGAAUCAUGGCCUUAUCAUUUAAAACCUAAAGAUAAAAAAGAAGGUUUUAAUGGUGAAAUUUCUGUAUAGAAGAGCAAUAACAGAGAAACGUUCCACUUCAAUGCAUGAUCACAUAGGCCUGAAUAAGAUGAUUUAUUUCAGCUAGCACCCAGCGUCAAAUUUCAUCUAUGCUUAGAAUAUUACUUAGAAAGUUGAGGUAAUUUGAAUCUCUUUUAGUAUUUUAACUUUUGUAUGUUUGAAGUAGGGUUGUGAAUUUUUCUUGUUCUUACUGUUUUAUCUUUUGUUAAAUGCUUUGAGGUUUUCUACAAUCAAGUGGAGUUCAUUUUUUAUGAGAUAAAGAACUAAAUAAAUAAAUACAUGUAAAUACAGGAGGCAAAUAAGCCUAAAUAAGGCUGCAAUGGUAUACACACAAACCUGGCUCGGAGUAUGACCCUUUGGACUCAAUGCGACUUACUUUGAGGAGCCAGCAUAGAAUUGCCCUGUUAAACAUUCUGAAGCAUGCUCCAUUGUGUUCAAUGGGACUUCCAACCAGGUGAGUAUAAGAUUUCCACAUUAGAAUUCAUUUAGAUUUAUGAAAUAAUUAAGCAUGCGUUAAAAAAAAUUCCCUCUAGAAUCAAAGCGACUUCUUCUGACUUGAGAUAUGUUCUUUAGUUACUAUAUAUACAGACACCCACCCACCCACCCACACCUGUUAGCAGAUAAGCUAUUCUGGUGUGUGGCGAUUGACCUUUUCAACUAUGCAGCCUUUCCUGAUUGGGUUUAGGUGCUUAGCAGCAUGAGGUAUUUAUAUGGUCCUCAUAUCUGAUGUAGCAAAGUACAGUCUCUAGAUAGUAAACCUUGAUAACAUCUCAGACUUUAGAUAAGUUCAAUAUUUUUCUUUCUGCAUCGAAGAUUUCCGGGUGCCUCUUAUGAAGUGCAUCUACGUCCUUGUGGAAUUGGAGAAGCUGAGUCUGUAACAUGUAUCUUUUUAUGUUGUCUGUUUUGCACCCAAAUUAGAUCAGAGUUAUUGUUAGAUUUAAGGGAAUCCUCAAAUAAGUUAAUUGGAAGAUGUCAUAUUGGGUUUGGUUUUGCUCUGUGCCUUCCUUGAGUGCUUCUGGAGGGAUGUAAGUUUGAAUUGUUCUAGUGUAUCUCAUUUGCCUGGGUGAGGAGGGGAUGGAGAUUUUUGCCUGGCUGGAAUGAAGCUUUUUGUACAAAGAUGCACAUCCAUUGAUGCACUAAGUUUUGCCAGUGGCUUUUCCCACUGCUGAUAUGUGGCCCCUGGAAGGGGAUAUGGUCCUCAUGCUAAAAAAAAAGUUCCCUGCCCCUGAUUUAAAUUAUGGUAAUUAUUUCUACAUAUCUAUAGUAAUCAUUUUAAAAUUUGUCCUCCUUUGUCCUCUUUCUUGACCACCCUAAAGACAAAUCAGCUAAGAGUGAGAGUGGGGAACAGACAUGGAAUGCAGAAGGAGAGAGACUUGAAGGUUAGUAUUAUUAUCAUCCUCCUCCUCCUCAUUAUUAUUAAAUUUGUAUACCACCCUCUAUCUGCAGGUGUCAGGGCGGUUCAAAACAUAAAAACACAAGAUAAUAACACAAAAUAUAUAAUAAAAAUAAAAACAAGAAAAACCCAGUAAUCUCCCCCCUCCCCAACACACUGCCUGGCUCCUAAAGGUAUAUAAGGCGCCAGCCAAACCUCCCUGGGCAGAGCAUUCCACAAAUGAGAAGCUACUGCAGAGAAGGCCCAUUCUUGUGUUGCCACCCUCCAGACCUCUUGUGGAAGAGGCACGCAAAGAAGGACCUCAGAAGAUGAUCUCCAGUAGGUUAAUAUAGAGAAAGGAAGUUCUUGAGGUAGACCCGUAUGGAAAUGGCCGCUUGACGUUUGCAGGCAGAGAAAUUGUGGGUCCCAUUUCACCCUGAUUCUUCAGGGGGAAGAAGAAAUUCUCCAAUAGUUCCUCAGGGGUGGCAUUCACCAUUAGCAGUGACAAUAGCACAGUUUCUUUUGCUCUUCCUAAGAUUUUAUUUUGUUAUUGUUCUUUCAAUGCUGCCACAAGUGGUAGUAGCAGCUCUAUUGGCAGCCUGGCCACCAUUUUGUAUUCCCCACAAUGCCAUGGGCCUAGCAUUAUUCUGGGGCAUUGUGGAGGAGAAAAUGCCAGUCAGAAUAUUGGUGCCCUUCUUGGGGCUGGGAGAAGUAAGAAAAAGUAAAUAUCCAAAAUGCUCUUUAGGGAAUGACUUGUGACAAAUUUUGGGUCAGCUCUAAUCAGAGCAGAGACAGCCUUGGAGAAGGCACACACUCCAGGCUGGGAAAUAUAUGCCAUGGAGAGAAUAUUUUGGCUGCUUAAAGGGCCUUUGAAGAGGCGAAUCAGAGUUCCAUCACUCCAAGAAGUAGUGAUGGAUAAUUAUGGUGGCAUUAUCAGGUAGGCAACUGCAGGACUGAAUUUUCCAAAUGCUUUUAUUCAAACUGAAUUAGUCAAAAUGAGGGAAGUAUUGUUUACACAGUAGCAAAGAGACUGAUUCCUCAGCUGAUUGGAACUCUGUUUUGACAUUAUUUGGAUGGUAGUCAACCAAGUAUUACUCACAGCAGACUUAGUGAAAUUUAUGGGCCGACUUAGUCAUGUUCAUUAUUUCAGUGGGUUUAUUCUGAGUAAAACUUUGGUGAAUACCACCCUUUGGUUCCUAAUUUUUACCUAUUGGAUAAUGUAUUUUCCCCUUCUAUCUGGAAAUUGCCACAAAUGCCUAUCUGAUAUUCAGUCCCUUAACUCAUUUUAAAGGGUAUGCAUUAAUGUCAAAUGGAAUGUUUUUAAUCAACAUAUCAAACCCUAGGAAUCUGGAUUCCACAGGAGACGUCUGUAUUUUAGCAUGAAAUAAUGAGAAUUAAUAUAGGAGUUCCAGGACCAAGAAAUAAAAAAAUUAUUACCCGAUAAGCAACUUCACAUGUAUAUUUUUUUACUGCACAAAAUACAACAUCUGUAGUUGUGCAUUUCUUAUGUGUCUGGUUAUGCACACAACCCUGUAAUAGGACUCUUAAUAGCAGUGGUUUCAAAUGCAUAAGUUCUACCUUAUCCUAAUGUAAAUCUUAGAACACUGCCAUUAUGCUGCCAGCAGCGUUAAUGUACAAGGUCCCUCCAAAGUGAUGCAUUAAGUAAACUGGGUGGAAAUCCACAAAGUAAGUAAUGGAAAAUCAUUUGAAUUGGAAAAAGCAUUGACCUUCAUAUCAGCCUUUGCGAUUCCAUUGUAUCUCAAAGCAGCUGUUUUCUUCUACAUGCAGCUAUUCUGUUUGUUGCCAUUCAAAAUAUUUCAUCUUCUUGAAAUGCUCAUUGUCAAAAAUAUUGUGUAGAAAUGCAUUAAGCAUGGAACUUGGCUCCUCAAACUGGAGGCAAAACAGACUUUUAGCAUGAGGCCAGUGCCUGCUGCAAGAUACACAAAGGCAUGUGAGCACAUGCAUAGCAUUUCUAUACAUGUGAAGGGAAUUUUCAAAUUUUAUUAUCUGCUGGAAAUUGUCAUGUGCUGUUUUGGAAGAUCACACCAUGCAAUUGGAAUGGGAAGACUGAAAAACCGUCAUGCACAGAGUUGCAAGCAAUUGUUCUUCAGCAAUAAUGGAAGGGAAAGAAGUAUGAAACCAAUGGGUUAGGUGUGCAGAGCCUUUGGACUUCCAGAUGUUGAACUACAGCUCCCAUCAUCCCUGGACAUUGGCCAGGCUCGCCAGGGCUCAUGGGAGAUGCAGUUCAGCAGCACCCACAGGUUCCCUACAUCUGCAGUUGGUAAUCAAAGGUCCCCAAAACUUUUCAAACAAGACAUUGUCGCAUGGGAAUGAUUUUAAAAGCUAUCAAUUUAGGACAUCUUAUAAAAUGUUUAUAGCCAUCUUCUGAACUGAUAAGCAUUCCAAACAACUCAUAAAGAAACAGAUAUAUUUCAUCAAUAGGAGAAUAAACAAAGAAGGCAAAUGCAGAAUAUUAGAAUCACAAUUCUUCGUAUAACAAAUAGUAUAUUUUAGGAAGUGCCCAACUGGACCAUAUGUCAACAAAAAUGAACAUACCGGUAAGAAGAGCCUGCUGGAUCAGGCCAAUGACCCAUCUAGUCUAGCAUGCUGUUCUCAUAAUAGCCAACCAGAUGCCUGUAAGAAACCUGCAAACAGAACUUGAACACAAGAGCAUUCUACCCUGCCCUGUGGUUUCCAGCAACUGGUAUUCAUAAGCAUUUACUGGCUCCAAUCGUGGGGGCAAAACAUAGCCAUAAUGGCUAGUAGCUGUUGAUAGUUUAUCCUCCCUGGGUGAGCCAUCCAGGUUAGUGGUCAUCACUGCUGGUGUGGGAACAAGUUCCAUAGUUUAACUAUGGGCUGCAUGAAGUAGGUGGCGCUGUGGUCUAAACCACCAAUCCUCUUGGGCUUUCUGAUCAUAAAGUUGGCAGUGAGCCCUCAUUGCUUUGUCCCAGCUCCUGCCAACCUAGCUGUCUGAAAGCAUGCCAGCAUGAGUAUAUAAAUAGCUACUGCUGCAGCGGGAAGGUAAAUGACGUUUCUGUGCUCUCUGGCACUUGUCACGGUGUCCUGUUGCACCAGAAGCGGUUUAGCCAUGCUGGUCACAUGACCCAGAAAAGCUGUCUGCGGACAAAUGCCGGCUCCCUUGUCCUGAAAAUGGAGAUGAAAUCUGCACCCCAUAGUCAAAUUCAACUGGACUUAAACAUCCAGGGGUCCUUUACCUUUACGUUUUGCAUGAAGAAGUAGUUCCUUUUGUCUCUCCUGAAUCUUCCAACUUUAUUCUUCUGGACAGAUUCUAGAGACAUUUCGCUGCAAAUCACAAAAAUCAAAGCCUACCCCCCACCUUUGGUACUGUGUGAUUGCCUUGGACCAUCUAGUUGGCUUCAUUUAGACUUCUGGCCAUGCAAAAAGGAGGCCGCUUGCCAUUGCCAUUCUGUCUUGGCCUUACUUCUGGAGUGGCUUGCUACAGUGGACUCCUCAGGCAAGCCAGAAAACAACAGAGAUGCCAGUGGAGGUUGACUCUGUGGCAGAAAUGAGUGCCUUUUACUCUGCCAGAGUGCCAGAACAUUUGAAAUCCCAAAAAUGUCAACGGGAUCUCUAUGCUAAAGGGCAGUUUAGCAACUGAACGAGCAGAUAAAUAAAUGGCUUUGUUGCCUGAUCAUUUUGCCCCUUAGGGUGACUUGCUCCAUGCUGUUAUCAUGGUCAUAAAACAGUGUUGUGAAUGCAAAUAUCCCAUUGAUUUAAACACCUUGCAGAUUCCCAAUGACCCUUGGUUUCUGCUUGUGUAUAUGUGCCUUGUUCCCUCUCCCAGAAUGUGUCUGGGAUGAAAGCCCUGUUCUGUCUGUCUUCCAUUGCCUUUUCUUUCCAGUGGCACCUAUAAUAACCUCUUUGCUUUAUCUGUACCCUCUCAGUCAUAAUGUUGUCCUUCUCCUGCUUACUUGUUCCCCGAUUACCACUGAAUUCACAUGCUAUCUGAUAAGUGCAGGUAUCUUCUUUUCUCCCUUGUAAAAAAAAUUGGAAGCAGAAAGUGUUCCUAAUUCUGUCAAGAAAAUGACUUUCGAUCCCCCUCCCUUGCAUAUUAUUCUCGUGAGGGUCAGAUGUGAAUCGAUUUCUGACGUGGGUUUUUUUCAUGGCUGUAAAGUGGUAAAAUGUGGAGUGCUUUGAAGUUAGAAAUGUAAUUGUGGAGACAUAAAAAUUGUAUCUAUAGCCAUCACAGAGAUAUUUAUCUCAAGAUGACUGUCUCAGUGUCCUUCAGAGCAAUAACUGCAACAGCCGAGAACAUAACAGAGGGAGCUGAAAUGUUAUGACUCAUUUACUUCUAACAAGUCUAAUACACUUCAGUGAAAACGUAUUGCACAUGACAUAAGGGACUCUCUGAUAUACUGGAACAAGCUUCAAAGGCCAUUGAAAUAAAAUACCAGCCAUUACUACUGCUCAAAUAUUCUUCAGUGUCUAAAUUAGGCCACCAAUACCAAAGAUCGUAAUUGCGUUAUUCUCUCUGAUUCCUUGUCGCUCAGAGAAAUGUCUAUGUUUUGCACACUCUUUUGUCCAGGAGGAGUGAGGUAGAUAAACCAGGCUCAUAAAACAUGUUAUUUUUUAUUGUCAUGUGCAACAUUACUAUUGCAAUGUCAUUUAAGAUGUUAAAAUGUUCACACUUUAAAUGCAUAAAAAUAUCUGUAAUGGCUUCCUCUGACUAUGACAGAGGGAAUUCAGAGGAAGGUCUUCAGGACGCAAUGCAGAAUGUCUUUGUGAAUGGGGAAGCGGCGGACAAUUAAUGCUGUGUAAACAUUGCCGGCAUAGCUUGUCUUUUUCUCAAUUUGGAUCAAAGCUGGUUUUGGGGGGAAACACAUCAAAAAUGCAGCAUCAAUAGAUAUGGAUUGGGAAUAAUGUCAUAUGUACUCCGCUUCCCAAACCAGUUGUGGGAGUGCACUGGAUGAAGAGUAAACAGAAGAGGGUACACAGCUUAAUUAACCUAAAAUGGGGGGGGGGUCUCUCUCUUUCUCACUGCAGUAUGUACUUGGAAAUAAGUGCAAUACUCCCAGGUGUGCCAUCCACUGGCCAUCACCCUGGACAUGACCAAACAGCAGCAAUGGACACAGGAAGCAGCCUUAAUCGAGAUGAAGUGAUUUGCCCUUGUACUCCACUAUUGUUUGGCUACCCGCAGUGGCUCUCCCCAGAGUCUUAGGCAAAAAGCCUUCCCAUCACUACCUGGAGAUGUCAUGGAUCGAACCUGGGGGCUUCUGCAUGCAAAAUGUAGGUGCUCUACCACUGAGCUAUGGUGCCUUCUCUGGCAACGUAAGCUGACUCCGCUUGCAAAGGUAAGCCACCUUCAUAUCGAAGCCAUUAAUUAAGCUCUCAGUCAUCUUAUCGUGCUUGCAUCAUGAACCUCCAGCUCAGGUUAAUGGUUUUAAAUUCACAGGAUCCCAAGGAUGCUCAGCUGGUGAGCCGUUCACCACCUUCACAGGACUGAUUCUCCCUGGUCCCUGUGGAAAAUGUUAGGAUAUUUCCGUUCCACCUUAAAGGGGAGCAGGCUUUGUGAGUCACACAGCCUGCGUAUUUCCUGUUUCACAGGAUGUUUCUGUUGUGUCUCUCUCUCUGUGUCAGAGACACUGAAGGAGGCAGUCAUGUUUUUCUUUGUUCUGAUCAACGCUGAAUAAAACUUGUAAAUAAUGCUCUCCUGCGUGCAACUUUUGCUGUGCAUUAUCUGCUGAUAGAGCGUGCAUGAGCUCGAGAAUGAUGGCAGGCUAUUUCUGGAGCUCGUGUCGCUAAUUGCUGAUACUGUAUCUACGGGAGAUCGAUGGACGUCCGGAGGCGACUUGGGGGCCAUGAUGGACUUUGACUCCCUGGCAGUAUCCUAACAGAAAAGCCCCAAAAGUUGUCCUGCUUUUCAAUUUGUAGUGCAAACAAAGCCUUUGGUUUAGUCACCUGUUUCAGUUAGUCCUGCCACACCCAAACUCUCAGUGUCUCUCCCUUUUGUAGCUUU